CCUACGGGGGGCAGCAGUGGGGGAUAUUGCACAAUGGGGGGAACCCUGAUGCAGCGACGCCGCGUGGGUGAAGGAGCGUUUCGGCGCGUAAAGCCCUAUCGGCAGGGAAGAAGAUGACGGUACCUGACCAAGAAGCCCCGGCUAACUACGUGCCAGCAGCCGCGGUAAUACGUGGGGGGCAAGCGAUAUCCGGAUUUACUGGGUGGAAAGGGGGCGCAGACGGCAAUGCAAGCCAGGAGUGAAAGCCCCGGGCCCGAACCCGGGAGUGCUCUUGGAACUGCAUGGCUAGAGUACAGGAGGGGCAGGCGGAAUUCCUAGUGUAGCGGUGAAAUGCGUAGAUAUUAGGAGGAACACCGGUGGCGAAGGCGGCCUGCUGGACUGUGACUGACGUUGAGGCCCGAAGGCGUGGGGAGCAAACAGGAUUAGAUACCCUUGUAGUC
Molecule: ribosomal RNA, 440 nt
Filed under: uncultured bacterium
Lineage: Bacteria
Description: partial 16S ribosomal RNA
Rfam family: Bacterial small subunit ribosomal RNA
Source: RNAcentral